RNAcentral lists this ribosomal RNA (1644 nucleotides) under Listeria monocytogenes. Its description in RNAcentral is "partial 23S ribosomal RNA". It matches the Rfam family "Bacterial large subunit ribosomal RNA", at positions 132 to 1788 of the family's 2925-position model. Lineage: Bacteria; Bacillati; Bacillota; Bacilli; Caryophanales; Listeriaceae. The record is from RNAcentral.
UAUCUUUUAUAGGAUAUUACUUUUCAGUGAAUACAUAGCUGAUUAGAGGUAGACGCAGAGAACUGAAACAUCUUAGUACCUGCAGGAAGAGAAAGAAAAUUCGAUUCCCUGAGUAGCGGCGAGCGAAACGGGAAGAGCCCAAACCAACAAGCUUGCUUGUUGGGGUUGUAGGACUCCGAUAUGGUAGUCUGUUAGUAUAGUUGAAGGAUUUGGAAAAUUCCGCUAAAGAGGGUGAAAGCCCCGUAGACGAAAUGCUAACAACACCUAGGAGGAUCCUGAGUACGGCGGAACACGAGAAAUUCCGUCGGAAUCCGCGGGGACCAUCCCGCAAGGCUAAAUACUCCCUAGUGACCGAUAGUGAACCAGUACCGUGAGGGAAAGGUGAAAAGCACCCCGGAAGGGGAGUGAAAUAGAUCCUGAAACCGUGUGCCUACAACAAGUCAAAGCUCGUUAAUGAGUGAUGGCGUGCCUUUUGUAGAAUGAACCGGCGAGUUACGAUUGCAUGCGAGGUUAAGUCGAAGAGACGGAGCCGCAGCGAAAGCGAGUCUGAAUAGGGCGAAUGAGUAUGUAGUCGUAGACCCGAAACCAUGUGAUCUACCCAUGUCCAGGUUGAAGGUGCGGUAAAACGCACUGGAGGACCGAACCCACGUACGUUGAAAAGUGCGGGGAUGAGGUGUGGGUAGCGGAGAAAUUCCAAACGAACUUGGAGAUAGCUGGUUCUCUCCGAAAUAGCUUUAGGGCUAGCCUCGGAAUUGAGAAUGAUGGAGGUAGAGCACUGUUUGGACUAGGGGCCCAUCUCGGGUUACCGAAUUCAGAUAAACUCCGAAUGCCAUUCAUUUAUAUCCGGGAGUCAGACUGCGAGUGAUAAGAUCCGUAGUCGAAAGGGAAACAGCCCAGACCACCAGCUAAGGUCCCAAAAUAUAUGUUAAGUGGAAAAGGAUGUGGGGUUGCACAGACAACUAGGAUGUUGGCUUAGAAGCAGCCACCAUUUAAAGAGUGCGUAAUAGCUCACUAGUCGAGUGACCCUGCGCCGAAAAUGUACCGGGGCUAAACAUAUUACCGAAGCUGUGGACUACACCAUUAGGUGUAGUGGUAGGAGAGCGUUCUAAGGGCGUUGAAGGUCGAUCGUGAGGACGGCUGGAGCGCUUAGAAGUGAGAAUGCCGGUAUGAGUAGCGAAAGACAGGUGAGAAUCCUGUCCACCGUAUGACUAAGGUUUCCUGGGGAAGGCUCGUCCGCCCAGGGUUAGUCGGGACCUAAGCCGAGGCCGAUAGGCGUAGGCGAUGGACAACAGGUUGAUAUUCCUGUACCAGUUGUUUUUGUUUGAGCAAUGGAGGGACGCAGUAGGCUAAGGAAUGCAUGCGAUUGGAAGUGCAUGUCCAAGCAAUGAGUCUUGAGUAGAGUUAAAUGCUUUACUCUUUAAGGACAAGUUGUGACGGGGAGCGAAAUAAUAGUAGCGAAGUUCCUGAUGUCACACUGCCAAGAAAAGCUUCUAGUGAGAAAACAACUGCCCGUACCGUAAACCGACACAGGUAGUCGAGGAGAGUAUCCUAAGGUGAGCGAGCGAACUCUCGUUAAGGAACUCGGCAAAAUGACCCCGUAACUUCGGGAGAAGGGGUGCUGACUUCGGUCAGCCGCAGUGAAUA